UGGGGAAUUGUUCGCAAUGGGCGCAAGCCUGACGACGCAACGCCGCGUGGAGGAUGAAGAUCUUCGGGUCGUAAACUCCUGUCGAGCGGGACGAACACUUAUCCGGUUAAUACUCGGGUAGGCUGACGGUACCGCUAAAGGAAGCCCCGGCUAACUCCGUGCCAGCAGCCGCGGUAAUACGGGGGGGGCAAGCGUUGUUCGGAAUUACUGGGCGUAAAGGGCUCGUAGGCGGCCAACUAAGUCGGACGUGAAAUCCCCAGGCUCAACCUGGGAACUGCGUCCGAUACUGGAUGGCUUGAAUCCGGGAGAGGGAUGCAGAAUUCCAGGUGUAGCGGUGAAAUGCGUAGAUAUCUGGAGGAAUACCGGUGGCGAAGGCGGCAUCCUGGACCGGCAUUGACGCUGAGGAGCGAAAGCCAGGGGAGCAAACGGG
Molecule: ribosomal RNA, 430 nt
Filed under: uncultured Acidobacteriota bacterium
Lineage: Bacteria; Pseudomonadati; Acidobacteriota
Description: bacterial SSU rRNA
Rfam family: Bacterial small subunit ribosomal RNA
Source: RNAcentral